This 7010-nucleotide long non-coding RNA is filed under the name Vigna radiata. Its description in RNAcentral is "long non-coding RNA (VRAD_LNC003043)". The record is from RNAcentral. Lineage: Eukaryota; Viridiplantae; Streptophyta; Magnoliopsida; Fabales; Fabaceae.
UUCCAAUAUAGAGUGAGGAUGGGGUUUCCGCCAUCAUCACACAAGACACAACGGUCGUGAAGGGUUAAACGGGGAGAUUUGAUAUAAAAACGACGGUCACCAUUUCCGUCGUAAGUGGCACCUUUAUCUGUGUUAAUUUGAAGAUUGAUUAUGUAAGGAGCACAGUAGGAAAGGUCGAUAACUGGAAAUGGAUAUUCCAUUGGAGAGAGAGGGAGACGAAGAGUUCUAGGUUAUGAAGAACAUCGCAAUAACGUAUGGUAUUCAUGGAUACACGCGUUAACUUAAACAAACUAUACAACUUAGUCAAACUUCACGGCUGAAGUAGGUUAGUUACUGAAUUACUGCUGCAAGUAGAAGAAGACUCCGGUUGACUUCACAGUUAUAACUUUUAGAUUCCAGAAAUUGGAUACCAUGUGCGACUCAGUCAUCUAAUAGGUUUAACUAGUGGACCAACAUGCUCCGAGGUUUCCUUUUCCUUAUUUAUUGUCAUUUUCUCGCAUAUCACAUAUUAGUUUGGAUUGGUUGUCUCUCACUGUGUUUUGUCUAAUUUACAGUAUAAAAGUUAUGGCGUUGUUCAGUUUAUUUGGUCGUGCUUUUGACAUUCAUGUUCAAAUUGAAUAUGUAUGUUAACAUAAUUGAUUAUGCAAGAUACCUUAACUGAUUAUUCUGUGACUCCACUUGAAGUAAUUAAAUUUCAAUAAUCAGAGACUUCUUAAAAUACCACUACAAAAAAAAAACUGAUGUGAACUCUUGCAAUCCCUCUGAAGCGAAACUUGUUGAUAAUAUACAUAAUUUAAAACCUUUACUACAUUAACACUAUUGAUGAUAAAUUCUAACAAGUAAAACUUACUUGUUGCUGUGACACCAUUAAUUUGAAGCAAGUUGCAUCCUUUUUAAGGCUUGGGGUGGCAAAUUUACUGGUUUUUCUCUUAGCUUUUCAAUUUCCUGUAUUGGCCACUAUACCAAUUGUUUACCAGACUUAUGCAGUGUCGGCAAAACACAUGUGCAUCAUUCACCAAAUUAUUUGAAGUCAACUUCAAUUUCUAAAGUAAAAAGUAAAAGAAAAAUGCUGUGGAGCCCUGUAUGAGUUGGCUCAUGUUAUUUUAAAUAAUGUCGUUACAUCUAUACCCAGAAACCGUGCCCAAAAAAAAAAUCUAAUUAUUUGAGUCUAGAGUCAACACUAUUUCAUCAAGUUGUCUUGAAUUAAGGUAACUUUAUAAUCAUAUUUUGUUUAACUUUCUAAUUUAAUUUAAAACUGAAAUCAUUUAUACAUCAUCUAUUUAAUUUAAAAUUAGUUUCCUAGAUUUAGUUAGACUCAAUUAAUUUAGAUCACAGUUAUGUUUUCUUUAUCAUAUCAAAGAGAACCAAGCUUGUUUCACAUAUUAAAAGUACAUUCAGGAAAUGUUAUGUUAUCGUGGAGAACAUCACGAGGUCAAUGACUAAGAACUUUGAGAAUAUUAUGUGUGCAAUUGAAGAAUCUAAGGAUUUGACCAUGUUCUUGGUUGAAGAGCUUGUUAGGUUUUUUAGCACGUGAGCAAUUGAGGAGAACGUUGUUUGAACAACUUGAUCAGAUAUUUCAGUAAAACUUGACUUAAAGGGAGGUGCUCAAAACACUCAAAGCCGAGGUGGUCUUGGAAGAAGAGGCUGUGGACAAAGACGUCGUGGCAAAGUUGAUUGUGAAGACAAAAAUAAGCAAACCAGAAACAAAAUGGGAGAGGUUGUGGUAAAGCAAGAGGCUGAAGAGGUCGAUCUAUUAAUUCUGAAGUAGAAUGCUAUAAAUGUGACAAACAUGGCCACUAUGCCAAUGACGACAGGUUGACCAAGUGUUAUAAUUGUGAUAAGGUUGAUCUAUAACAAAAUACUAUCGAGUGGAAAAGAAAAAGGAAACAAAUAUCCUUAUUAAGAGGCUGAUGAAGAGAUUGAGAUCCUGAUGAUGUCAAGAACCCCAAAGACCGAGUUGCUGAGUUUGAAUGGCUACCAAGCUGUAAGAGCUCGGAUGUCAGUUUGCCGAGCUAGAAGAGCCAAAUGUCAAAGUUGCCAAAUAGAAAGAGCUAGAUGUCGGGGUGUCGAGUUGUAAGGUCAAGUUGCCAAGUUGGAGUUCGAAACCCAUUCCAAGAUUCUUGACCUCGAGGAGUACGAAAGUUGAGGUGAAUAUAAAUAAAACAACUGUUGUCACUAGUGCAUAAUUGGCCUUUAACGUCACUCUGUAGACGUUGGAUCAGAAAACACCCAACGUAAAUUAUUGACUGGUGGUAUUUUCGUAAAUAGGUUGGUCAUGUAGACGUCAGUUUGGAGAGACCUUGACGUCUAUAGGCCCUUUCUAACUGACGUCUAUAUGUCUGACAGAUAGGUGAAAAAUAAUUUUUUCCGCCAUAUAGACGUCUAAUCCCGCCACUCCGACGUCUAUAUGCUAUUAUAGACGUCGGUACCCCUCCUAACCGACAUCUAUAUGUUUGACAGGUAGGUGAAAAGAAAUUUAUUUCCCCAUUUAGAUGUCUGAUCCCGCCACUCCGACGCCUAUAUGCGAUUAUAGACGUUAGCUCCCCCUACAUUCAACAUCUAUAUAUACCACUUAAAUCGAAUGGACGUCACAUUAGUGAGGUACCCGACGUCUUAGUUCCUAUUAAAUCUAACAUUGCGAACUAGCAGUUACGCGCACUUCAUCAUCUUCCUCCGCCUUUCCUCUCCGCGAGAUUUCAUUUCCAAGUGCGUUUUAUCUCUUUUGAACAGUUUAAACUUCCUUUUACUCUGAUUAAAGUAGUCUUUGAUCUAUUAUCUUUCAUUUGAACCGAUUAAAAUGAGUUUUUGUUGUGUUUUGGUGCAGUUACUCUUGUGUCUUUGGUAGCAUAGUGUACCUUCUCCCUCUGCUAGUUUCCUUGUAAGAAAAGCUUGCAUCUUUUGGAUCUCUUAUGGCAUUUCAACCCAAAGUCGAACCUGAGUCCUUACUUAGUUUUCAUGUCACCGUAUUAUUUUUCUUUGGCAGUUGGAAUGGAACUUGGUAAAGACCCAGGUUCGGUUUUGGGUUGAAAUGUCAUAAAAGAUCCAAAAGACGCAUUUUUUUUAUGAAGAAACUAACAAAGGAAGGAAGUGCUACUACGCUACCCAAAGAUACGAGCAAAACUACACUAAAAAACAAUGAAAACACAAUGAAAAAACAAGAUAAAGAUAAAAAAUUAAAAGUAAAAAAUGUAGUAUAUUAUAAACCUCCUUAAAAAACAAUUGAAACCUCCACAAUUAUUAGCUUUUAAACAAUAGAUAAAAAUUAUCCUAAAUUAUGGUGAUUUGUGGAGGUUUUUCAUAACCUCCUUAAAAUUUGUAGAAUAACUGCAAAAUUGAUUUCAAACGAAACUGAUAACAUGUUUGCUACAUAUUCGUUGAUUUUAAAAUGAAGCCAUUUGCAUUGCAAUGUUUUAAUCUAAAGCAAGUCAAUAACAAAAUUUAGUAUAGAUUUUUCAAUUUAAAUUAAAACUUGUCUCAAGUUACUUCAAUUAAGUAUCAACUUUGAAUCCAAAGAAAAUAAAAGUAGCCAGUACCUUCGCCGUGGUCAUCAGUUUAAUGGCUACAUUGGCAUACUUGACAACCCCUAUGAGAGUAUGAGUCCAAAACAUAAUGCUAGGGUUCGAGGUAGGAAGAGCUUUAAUCAGUGUAAAAGGUUGGAAAGAAUAUUUAAUCGGUGUAAAUAGAUAGAAACCGAUUUCAAUCUGUGAAAAAUGAAGGAAAAGGCAAAACCUAGCGGAAGAUGAGGUUUGGUGUUUGAGGCGACGCUCGAGGCAGCGAAGAAGAUGUAGUUCGGUGAGGAGCGAACGUGAAAUCGAGAGUGCUUCAAAAUGAGAUUAGGUAUUGGUGUCCUAAUUCUCUCAAGGAGAAGAGAGCAUGAAGAUGUGGUGAGAGAGGAAUGUCCUUGGAGGAGUGCACGAUUUAGAGAGGAAGAGAGGAACGAGAGUGAGAGGGAACGUGAAAUAAAUGUGGUUGAUGAUUGUGUGUAUCACAAGUUCAAUGGGAGUAAGUAUAUCUUUUUGGUCUUGUAUGUUGAUGACAUACUACUUGUUACCAACAAUAUAGACAUGUUUCACGAAACCAAGAGAUUUCUAUCUAGAUAUUUUGAAAUGAAAGAUCUUGGUGAUGCUUUCUUUGUAUUAGGAAUUUAGAUACACCACGAUUGAUCUCGCGAUAUUUUAGGAUUAUCACAGAGGAAUUACAUCGAUAAGGUGCUUAAAAGGUUUGGUAUGCAAGAUUGUAAAGCAAGAGAUACUCCAGUUGCUAAGGGAGACAAGUUUAGUCUUAAUCAGUGUCCAAAAGGAAAUCUAGAAAUUCAAGAAAUGCAAAAGAUUCCUUAUUCUUCAGUAGUAGGGAGUUUGAUGUAUGCCCAAGUAUGUACGCAUCCAAAUAUAGCCUACACCAUUUGGGUUUUAGGCAGAUAUUUAAACAAUCCAGGAAUGGAUCAUUGGAAAGUAGAAAAAAAAGUUAUGAGGUAUUUACAAAGAACAAAAGAUUAUAUGCUCACGUAUAGGAGAUUAGACCGGUUAGAGAUCACUGGAUAUUCUGACUCAGAUUUUGCACUUUAGGUUACAUUUUCAUGUUGGCCGGUGGAGCGGUUUCUUGGCGUAGUGCUAAGCAAACCUUUACGACUUCAUCUACUAGGGCUGUAGAAUUUGUAGCAUGAUAGGAGGCAUCAAAUAAAGGUAUAUGACUGAGAAAAUUUGUCACAAGGCUGCACAUUAUGGAAGGAAUUGAAAGACCACUCAAGUUAUACUGUGACAACAAAUCAGUUGUAAUGUAUUCUAACAACAAUAGGAGAUCAAGCAAGUCAAAGCACAUUGACAUCAAUUUCUUGGUUGUUAAAGAAAGAGUGUAUAGUGGAUAAAUUUCUAUAGAGCACUUAAGGACAAACUCCAUGUUGGCAGAUCCUCUUACAAAGAAUAUUACACGAGCUUCUGAAACAGAGCCUCUUACAAAGAAUAUUACAUGUUGGCAGAUCCUCUUACAAAGAAUAUUACAAUAAGUGUGCCAAAGCCUAGAGGAACAAAGCUUCUGAAAAGGGUGGCACCCUGCAUAUUGGUGGGUCGAUCACAAUUCAUGAACAUGCCAUUCGUAUGGUAAACUUUCAUUACUUUUUUUUUUCUUUCAUAUAACUUAUGUAUUUUCUAUUUCAUAUGUACACUUCUAACUCUAAAUUAUGUUAUAGGCACAAGUUCUAGGAAAGGCGAUCCAUGUUGAUGAGGUCUUUGCACAAACCCAUGUUAGGAAGGGCACUAAUGAAUUUGUUGAUGAAAGAUCUCGGAAUACUCAUGUAAGCAAAUAACAUUGUUACUAUUAGUAAUUUGUCAUUAAUGUUAUUUUAUCAUUCCCUAGCAUUGCUUUUAAUGUUUCAACAGGAAGAAUUUUCUACGAGACUUUCACAGGCUAGAUCUAAACAUGGGUCAGCUCCUACACCGAAUGAUGUGAGUAAUGCAAAAGACGACAUCCGUAGGACACAAUGUCGGGUCGACAUCGUUGGUGGGAAGGAAAAGGGACGAGUGUAUGGUGCAGGAGAACUUGCUGCAAACUAUACAUCAUCGAGAGGAGGUACUCUGAAGCACCAACCUUCUUCUUCCACCAUUACUGCUAACGAGGCCGUUGUCCGCCUCACGUAGGUACUGGAGCAACGUGACCAGGAAAUCACUGAUUUGAGAGCAAAGUUUAGAAACUUUAAGGCCUUGGUCAUGAGACUGUUGCUUGAAACUUCACAGGAUCAGCUUAUUAUCCCUCCGGCCUAGCCACAAUCCUCCCCGUCACCCGCCGUCCCUCAACAGCCCUCAUCAGUCCAGCCGACAUCAGUACAACCCACACCAGUCCAACCAUCUAUAGAAGAGGAACAGGAUGAUGAAGAUCAUUUAGAUGAUAACUAUGAAGGAUAUUAGUUUUAUUUUGUUAUUGAACAUAGUUGUUAUAGAAACAUUUGGAUAUGAGAUCAUUUUGAUGUUAGAUCAAUUGGAUGAUUUGAAUGUUAGAACAUUAUGUUAGAUUGAUUUAUGUUUCAUUUAUAAAUACACAUGUUCUAUUGAUGAUUGAAUGAUUCAGAUGUUAUAUUUUUUUUUUCAGAUCAAUGAUUGGAUGAUUGAGAUGCACAUUAUGCAGGUCUGUAUGUGGUUGGAAAAUGUUAUGCAAGUCUGUUUGUGCUGUGAACAAUUUUUACAGGUUUGUUUGGUUUAAUAAGAAAUAUAAAUGUGCCUGAGAUUUGUCUAGAUCUUACCGAAGGCUUUACCGCAGACUUUUAUCCUUCAGUAAUUACUGACGGCCUGCGCUCUUCGGUAAUUACCAAAACUUUUGUCAUUCGGUAAUUAUCGACAACCUCUUGUCCUUCGGCCUCUGGUCUUCCAUUAGAGGGAGAUGAAGAGUUCUAGGUUAUGAUUAUGUUUUUGCAGUAGAAGAUAAAGAACAUUGGAAUAACGUAUGGUAUUCAUGGAUACACGCAUUAACUUAAACAGACGAUACAACUUAGUCAAACUUCAUGUCUGAAGUAUGCUAGUUACUGAAUUACAGCUGCAAGUAGAAGAAGACUGUGGUUGACUUCACAGUUAUAACACGAACGUUCCAGAAAUUCGAUACCAUGUGCGACUCAGUCAUCUAAUAGGUAGUGGACCAACAUGCACCGAGGUUUCUUUUUCCUUAUUUAUUGUCAUUUUGUCGAAUAACACAUUAGUUUGGAUUGGUUGUCUCACUAUGUUUUGUCCAGUUUACAUCAUUAAAGUUAUGGCAUUGUUCAGUUUAUUUGUAGUCCAGGGAUUAUGGUCGUGCUUUUGACAUUGGAGAGAGGGAGACGAAGAGUUCUAGGUUAUGAAGAACAUCGCAAUAACGUAUGGUAUUCAUGGAUACACGCGUUAACUUAAACAAACGAUACAACUUAGUCAAACUUCACGGCUGAAGUAGGCUCAACAUGCGCGACUCAGUCAUCUAAUAGGUUUAACUAGUGGACCAACAUGCUCCGAGGUUUCUUUUUCCUUAUUUAUUGUCAUUUUCUCGCAUACCAC